GCACUGCUGAGGAGUCCCAUAAUAUGACGAAACGACCGUCCAGUGC
Schistosoma rodhaini is the source of this 46-nucleotide non-coding RNA. NCBI's taxonomy places the organism in Eukaryota, Metazoa, Platyhelminthes, Trematoda, Strigeidida, Schistosomatidae. The record is from Rfam.